Molecule: ribosomal RNA, 253 nt
Filed under: uncultured bacterium
Lineage: Bacteria
Description: partial 16S ribosomal RNA
Rfam family: Bacterial small subunit ribosomal RNA
Source: RNAcentral
UACGUAGGCAGCAAGCGUUGUUCGGAAUUACUGGGCGUAAAGAGUGUGUAGGCGGUGCUCUAAGUUCGGUGUGGAAUCUCCCGGCUCAACUGGGAGGGUGCGCCGAAAACUGGGGUGCUGGAGCGCGGGAGAGGAAAGCGGAAUUCCUGGUGUAGCGGUGAAAUGCGUAGAUAUCAGGAGGAACACCGGCGGUGUAGACGGCUUUCUGGACCGUAGCUGACGCUGAGACACGAAAGCGUGGGUAGCAAACAGG